GACGAACGCUGGCGGCGUGCUUAACACAUGCAAGUCGAGCGAUGAAACCCUUCGGGGUGGAUUAGCGGCGGACGGGUGAGUAACACGUGGGUAACCUGCCUCAAAGAGGGGGAUAGCCUCCCGAAAGGGAGAUUAAUACCGCAUAACAUUAGUUUUUCGCAUGGAGAACUAAUUAAAGGAGUAAUCCGCUUUGAGAUGGACCCGCGGCGCAUUAGCUAGUUGGUGAGGUAACGGCUCACCAAGGCGACGAUGCGUAGCCGACCUGAGAGGGUGAUCGGCCACAUUGGAACUGAGACACGGUCCAGACUCCUACGGGAGGCAGCAGUGGGGAAUAUUGCACAAUGGGCGAAAGCCUGAUGCAGCAACGCCGCGUGAGUGAUGAAGGCCUUCGGGUUGUAAAGCUCUGUCUUUUGGGACGAUAAUGACGGUACCAAAGGAGGAAGCCACGGCUAACUACGUGCCAGCCGCCGCGGUAA
Molecule: ribosomal RNA, 476 nt
Filed under: uncultured bacterium
Lineage: Bacteria
Description: partial 16S ribosomal RNA
Rfam family: Bacterial small subunit ribosomal RNA
Source: RNAcentral